RNAcentral lists this transfer RNA (77 nucleotides) under candidate division WWE3 bacterium CG_4_9_14_3_um_filter_41_6. RNAcentral describes it as "tRNA-Met". It matches the Rfam family "tRNA". From Rfam's summary of the family: Transfer RNA (tRNA) molecules are approximately 80 nucleotides in length. Their secondary structure includes four short double-helical elements and three loops (D, anti-codon, and T loops). The record is from RNAcentral. Lineage: Bacteria; candidate division WWE3.
GCCAGGAUAGCUCAGGUGGUUAGAGCGGAGGACUCAUAAGCCUCAGGUCGGGAGUUCGAGUCUCCCUCCUGGCACCA